AGCGAACGCUGGCGGCAGGCUUAACACAUGCAAGUCGAACGGGCGUAGCAAUACGUCAGUGGCAGACGGGUGAGUAACGCGUGGGAACGUACCUUUUGGUUCGGAACAACACAGGGAAACUUGUGCUAAUACCGGAUAAGCCCUUACGGGGAAAGAUUUAUCGCCGAAAGAUCGGCCCGCGUCUGAUUAGCUAGUUGGUGGGGUAAAGGCCCACCAAGGCGACGAUCAGUAGCUGGUCUGAGAGGAUGAUCAGCCACAUUGGGACUGAGACACGGCCCAAACUCCUACGGGAGGCAGCAGUGGGGAAUAUUGGACAAUGGGCGCAAGCCUGAUCCAGCCAUGCCGCGUGAGUGAUGAAGGCCUUAGGGUUGUAAAGCUCUUUUACCCGAGAUGAUAAUGACAGUAUCGGGAGGAAUAAGCUCCGGCUAACUCCGUGCCAGCAGCCGCGGUAAU
Molecule: ribosomal RNA, 453 nt
Filed under: uncultured bacterium
Lineage: Bacteria
Description: bacterial SSU rRNA
Rfam family: Bacterial small subunit ribosomal RNA
Source: RNAcentral